Long non-coding RNA from Arabidopsis thaliana (thale cress), 338 nucleotides. RefSeq annotates it as other RNA. Lineage: Eukaryota; Viridiplantae; Streptophyta; Magnoliopsida; Brassicales; Brassicaceae. The transcript has a single exon. The record is from RefSeq.
AAGUUGGGCCAUGUGAAGUCACGUUACUCUUGGAAUGGACCCUCAAUUACGUAAAAAUAGCAACUAUUAACAUUACAAUUGUUUCUCAUUAUUGUUUGUUUGGGUUUUUGUCAUUUUGUGUAAUAAUUGUGCCACCCAAUUGCCAUAAUUAGUGAGCCAUUGCUCCCAUCACCUCACCUCUCUAUUGCCGCCUCCAUUACCUUGUAUAUCUCUACUGUCUCUUCCUUUCUUCAUCUCUCACUUCAAUAAAAUAUCAUGCAUGAUAUUGUUGUAGAGAAUUAAAGAGGUAUGAAGAAGCCUUAUGCUUUUGUUUCAUGCUCCCAUGUUUUCUCUUCUAU